UACGUAGGGGGCAAGCGUUGUCCGGAUUUAUUGGGCGUAAAGAGCGUGUAGGCGGCUAGGUAGGUCCGUUGUGAAACCUCGAGGCUCAACCUCGAGACGCCGGUGGAAACCAUCUAGCUAGAGUCCGGAAGAGGAGAGUGGAAUUCCUGGUGUAGCGGUGAAAUGCGCAGAUAUCAGGAAGAACACCCGUGGCGAAGGCGGUUCUCUGGGACGGUACUGACGCUGAGACGCGAAAGCGUGGGGAGCGAACAGG
This 253-nucleotide ribosomal RNA is filed under the name uncultured bacterium. RNAcentral describes it as "partial 16S ribosomal RNA". It matches the Rfam family "Bacterial small subunit ribosomal RNA", at positions 524 to 776 of the family's 1533-position model. The record is from RNAcentral.